UGUACUGAUAUUUUGGGGCCUAGUCUGAUAUGUAUGGAGUAUGGUCUGAAAUUGCAGGAGAUAUGAUUUUGCACAAGCUGCUAAGUAAAGGCUAGAAGUCCGUCAGAUUAGGUAUCGACUUCCAUGUGUAGAACUGUCUCUUCCUAGCUUUCUCUAUGUAUUAUCAGUUAUGUAACCUGCAAGUGGUAGAACAGAAAUGAAAGACUAGAAAAUUUUGACUCAACGUUUCUCUUUAGUUUCUGUCUUUCUUGUUCAAAAAACCAACCAUGAUAAAAAAAAGAAAUAUAGAACACACCGGGACACAAUUUGAGCAACCGAGUAUAUGAUCAUUUCAUUAUCUAUGGAACAAUACAUGUGUAAUUCUACAAUGUACAAGAAUGACUAUAUCAAGAUUGUUCCGGUUAAUGGUUUAGGAUGUUUAGAAACGAGACUCUAGUUUUGAUCAGAGUCCUGGAAAGGUAUUCAAGACCUUCUUCAAUAUCUUGAAUGCACAAUUCUAAGCUCUCGAGUUGGGUUUGAACACCCUUGAUGUUAUCGGAUUUGCUUGUGUUCUGAUCUACCAAGGCUAAUAAUGCCGCAUCUGCUUUAGCAAACUCAUUUAUACCAGCUUCUUCAUCUGCAGAUGCUACUUUUUUAUGGUGCACCAGCUUGGAGACUAAUGACCAACCAGUAGUCCUUGCCUCUGGUCCAGAGAUGAAGGAGAGAAGGGAAUCGAACGCUUUGAGAGAAACUACUUCAACCUCUUUCAACAUGUUAAACAUGAU
This 764-nucleotide long non-coding RNA is filed under the name Populus tremula. RNAcentral describes it as "long non-coding RNA (PTRE_LNC002874)". Lineage: Eukaryota; Viridiplantae; Streptophyta; Magnoliopsida; Malpighiales; Salicaceae. The record is from RNAcentral.